Molecule: long non-coding RNA, 463 nt
Filed under: Gossypium raimondii (Peruvian cotton)
Lineage: Eukaryota; Viridiplantae; Streptophyta; Magnoliopsida; Malvales; Malvaceae
Description: long non-coding RNA (GRAI_LNC006412)
Source: RNAcentral
UAAAACAACUAAAAAUAAGCAACAAAAAUUUAAAAAAAUAAAAAAAUAAAAAAAUUGAAAAAUUCUAUGUUAUCCCUCCGCACUUUAUUUGGCAUAUUGUCCCCAAUGUGCACCCAAAAGAGAAGAGAAUAGGCUACCCAAUUUAAGCGUUGAAUUGCCUAGAGAGUAGUUGGGUGGUCAUCAUCAUGUUGGUUUAGCUCCAUAUUGUAGUGUCACCUAAGUUGGAGGUUCCUACAAAGAAUUAACACACUGUUUUUUUUAACUUACAACUAAUCAAAACAAAAAAUAAAAAAAAAAUAAUCAAAAUUCAAAAUUAUAUAGUCCAAAAAUUAAAUUAAAGUUAAAAUUUAAAUCAGAAUCGGAUGCCAGGCAAUUCUCUGCAACGAUCAGAGGUUUCCCACAACUCGCAACUAUCUUAGUGGCCCGCUUACCUGUAAACUGGGUCGGGCUGUUUUGGCUUGGG